This 86-nucleotide transfer RNA is filed under the name Bacillota bacterium. RNAcentral's name for it is "Firmicutes bacterium (anaerobic digester metagenome) tRNA-Leu". It matches the Rfam family "tRNA". Rfam says of the family: Transfer RNA (tRNA) molecules are approximately 80 nucleotides in length. Their secondary structure includes four short double-helical elements and three loops (D, anti-codon, and T loops). Further hydrogen bonds mediate the characteristic L-shaped molecular structure. tRNAs have two regions of fundamental functional importance: the anti-codon, which is responsible for specific mRNA codon recognition, and the 3' end, to which the tRNAs corresponding amino acid is attached (by aminoacyl-tRNA synthetases). tRNAs cope with the degeneracy of the genetic code in two manners: having more than one tRNA (with a specific anti-codon) for a particular amino acid; and 'wobble' base-pairing, i.e. permitting non-standard base-pairing at the 3rd anti-codon position. The record is from RNAcentral. Lineage: Bacteria; Bacillati; Bacillota.
GCCGGAGUGGCGGAAUGGCAGACGCUGGAGACUUAAAAUCUUCUGCCAGAAAUGGCGUGCGGGUUCGAGUCCCGCCUCCGGCACCA